GCCAUAUCACCCUGCAGCCCAAGACUGGUUGCCCACUGAAGCUAAGCAGGGUUGAGCCUGGUCAGUACCUGGAUGGGAGACCUCCUGGGAAAACUAGGUUGC
Molecule: ribosomal RNA, 102 nt
Filed under: Sinocyclocheilus anshuiensis
Lineage: Eukaryota; Metazoa; Chordata; Actinopteri; Cypriniformes; Cyprinidae
Source: RNAcentral